AAGACUAUAGACCUGCGGAGUACCUGCGGAAGGAUCAUUAAUGAGAAACUGCCCCUCGCGGGUAGAUCUCCCACCCUUUGUAAACUUACCUUUGUUGCUUUGGCAGGCCCGUCUCCGGGCCGCCGGCUUCGGCUGGCCAGUGCCUGCCAGAGGAUUCUAAAACUCUGUCUGUCAGUGUUGUCUGAGUCUAUAUACAAUCGUUAAAACUUUCAACAACGGAUCUCUAGAUCGGAAGAGCAC
Molecule: unclassified non-coding RNA, 240 nt
Filed under: soil metagenome
Description: partial contains 5.8S ribosomal RNA, internal transcribed spacer 2, and large subunit ribosomal RNA
Source: RNAcentral